RNAcentral lists this microRNA precursor (183 nucleotides) under Oryza brachyantha (malo sina). Its description in RNAcentral is "MIR812 microRNA precursor family". It matches the Rfam family "MIR812 microRNA precursor family". The record is from Rfam by way of RNAcentral. Lineage: Eukaryota; Viridiplantae; Streptophyta; Magnoliopsida; Poales; Poaceae.
AAUUAACCAAUUUUUCAUUUUUUACCUAUAAUUUUUGACUACUCGUCUUAUUCAAAUUUUUCUGUAUUAGAUGAUAAAUCAUGAAUAAUACUUUAUGUGUGACUAAUUUUUUUCUAAUUUUCUAAAAUUUUUUCAAAUAAGACAGAUGGUCAAACGUUGGACACGAAAACCGGAGAAUUGAUU